RNAcentral lists this non-coding RNA (235 nucleotides) under Tumebacillus flagellatus. RNAcentral describes it as "T-box sequence". It matches the Rfam family "T-box leader". Rfam says of the family: Uncharged tRNA acts as the effector for transcription antitermination of genes in the T-box leader family. T-boxes are found upstream of many aminoacyl-tRNA synthetase genes and some amino acid biosynthetic genes usually in Gram-positive bacteria. The record is from RNAcentral. Lineage: Bacteria; Bacillati; Bacillota; Bacilli; Caryophanales; Alicyclobacillaceae.
AGAACGUCUAAGACGAGGACAGUAUCCAGCCUGUGUGACACCCAGCGAGCCGGGGAUGGUGAGAGCCCGGUCGAAAGCAAGCCUGGAGAAGCGCACCUCCGAGACGCCCCCCGAACAGGCGGGGCCGGGUCAGCCCGUUACAGCGCAAAGCGGCUCUUCGUCCCAUUCGGUUUUUUCCGAUGCGGGAGAGAGCAACAAGAGUGGUACCGCGGGAGCAACAGCUCUCGUCUCUUAA